UCCCUGAUGGCUCAGUUGGUAAAGAAUCUGCCUGCAAUGUAGGAGACCUGGGUUCAAUUUCUGGGCAGGGAA
RNAcentral lists this transfer RNA (72 nucleotides) under Ovis aries (sheep). It matches the Rfam family "tRNA". From Rfam's summary of the family: Transfer RNA (tRNA) molecules are approximately 80 nucleotides in length. Lineage: Eukaryota; Metazoa; Chordata; Mammalia; Artiodactyla; Bovidae. The record is from Rfam by way of RNAcentral.